AACUUGAAAGCCCACGAACUCUCAGGGGAAAUGCUGUAUACUUUCCCAAAUACCUUACAUCUCUUCGGGAUCUAAAACUUGAAAACAGACUGCUUUAGUUUAAUAGUGGCUCUACCCUACACCUCAAGAGACGUUUUGCCCUCGGUGUUUCCGUUUUCUCAUCUGUACAAUGGAGACAAGAGCCGUACACUGAAAUAUUUUGCAGGCAUUGCUUCACUGUUCCUGGUAUUUAUAACUGCUGUGAAGAUUUCCGAAGCCAACACAAUUUCCUUCCUUUAAGUCUUCUCGAUGACAGCCUAUGGUAUUAGUGCACGCUGGUUUAAGACACCAUGAAACCAACCUAAUGGAAGCUACCCUUCAGAGCUAUUAAUGUACUUGAGAACUUGGUUUGCUUUCCAAUUUCCUGACAUUUUCCUGUUUCAAAUUAAUGAUUUCUAAUCUACACAGUGUUUUCUUAUUGCUUCAAGAGUCUUUAGGGGCUGCUUUGAGUUAAGGAAAUAGGUUAUCAACACAUUGUAUAUUAAAUAUACAAUUUAUAAAAUACAUAACAUAGUAUUUAAAAUGGAAUCUUAAAAAAUAUCUUCAGCCCUUACUCUUUAAUCUCUGACCAUGAACCUAUUUUAGUGGAACUCUUAGAAAAUUACAGAAGAUAGAUCCACUUAAAAACUUUUAUUAGUUGUCAACUUUAUUGUAAAGUUAUGACUAGACUCCAGACGUAUUUGGCUGUGACUCCCAGGAUUCUCCAUUAGUGUCCCAAAUUGGUUUUAAAUCAUCAACAUCAGGUCAUGAUACUGGCAGGAAUUGCUGUAGAGUCCAUGUGAGAGUAGCUUCUCUUUAAUCGUUCAACUGGUAAUCAUUUUCAUUUUGAAAUGGACAAUGGUAAUGAGUUUAUUUUUACAGAUGGCAUAUUUUGGGGGAUUUUGAUUUUUCUAACCUAAGGAAAUUAUUUUAGCAAGUUAGAAAUUGAAUUCCUUGGAGAGGCUCAUUUCUCUUCCCAUAUAUUUCCUGUGUCCUUCUGACAAGCUAGGAAGAGAACUAUAAUGAAAACAGAAUCAUUUGGAAUUUUUAUAACUGGAUUCGUAACCACUUUGUUGAUCCUUUCUAUUAUGUUACUUCCUAUUCACCAGUGAUAAUAUCUUGAAAGAUUUCAAGAUUCUUCAAAUCUGAAUAAUUAAAAGAGAUCAUACUAUGCCUAAUAGUAAAAUGUAAAAUAACUGAAUAUUAUUUGUUUUAUUGCUUGAAAACUAGUUAUCCAUAUAAAAUACAUGUGUGCACCUUCUUUUAAUUGUUGGAUGUGAGAGAUCACUCUGCAAGAUAAUAAAGUUUCUA
Long non-coding RNA from Mustela erminea (ermine), 1329 nucleotides. RefSeq lists it as uncharacterized. The record is from RefSeq and is a predicted model, not a curated record. Lineage: Eukaryota; Metazoa; Chordata; Mammalia; Carnivora; Mustelidae. The transcript has 3 exons.